AUUGAACGCUGGCGGCAUGCUUUACACAUGCAAGUCGAACGGCAGCACGGGUGCUUGCACCUGGUGGCGAGUGGCGGACGGGUGAGUAAUACAUCGGAACGUGUCCUGAAGUGGGGGAUAACGCAUCGAAAGAUGUGCUAAUACCGCAUAUUCUCUGAGGAGGAAAGUAGGGGAUCGAAAGACCUUAUGCUUUUGGAGCGGCCGAUGUCUGAUUAGCUAGUUGGUAAGGUAAUGGCUUACCAAGGCGACGAUCAGUAGUUGGUCUGAGAGGACGACCAGCCACACUGGGACUGAGACACGGCCCAGACUCCUACGGGAGGCAGCAGUGGGGAAUUUUGGACAAUGGGCGCAAGCCUGAUCCAGCAAUGCCGCGUGAGUGAAGAAGGCCUUCGGGUUGUUAAAGGACUCUUUCAGUCGAGAAGAAAAGGACUAGUGACAAAUAAUACAUAAGCUCAUGACGGUAUCGACAGAAG
RNAcentral lists this ribosomal RNA (473 nucleotides) under uncultured bacterium. RNAcentral describes it as "bacterial SSU rRNA". It matches the Rfam family "Bacterial small subunit ribosomal RNA", at positions 30 to 487 of the family's 1533-position model. The record is from RNAcentral.